UAAAAACCCCGACUUCGGAAGGGGUGUAUUUAUUAGAUACAAAACCAAUGCCCUUCGGGGCUCUUUGGUGAUUCGUGAUAACUAUACGAAUCGCACGGCCUUGCGCCGGCGAUGGUUCAUUCAAAUCUCUUCCCUAUCAACUUUCGAUGUUUGGGUAUUGGCCAAACAUGGUUGCAACGGGUAACGGAGGGUUAGGGCUCGACCCCGGAGAAGGAGCCUGAGAAACGGCUACUACAUCCAAGGAAGGCAGCAGGCGCGCAAAUUACCCAAUCCCGACUCGGGGAGGUAGUGACAAUAAAUACUGAUACAGGGCCCUUUCGGGCCUUGUAAUUGGAAUGAGUACAAUUUAAAUCCCUUAACGAGGAACAAUUGGAGGGCAAGUCUGGUGCCAGCAGCCGCGGUAAUUCCAGCUCCAAUAGCGUAUAUUAAAGUUGUUGUGGUUAAAAAGCUCGUAGUUGAACCUUGGGCCUGGCUGGCCGGUCCGCCUCACCGCGUGCACUGGUCCGGCCGGGCCUUUCCCUCUGUGGAACCCCAUACCCUUCACUGGGCGUGGCGGGGGAAACAGGACAUUUACUU
Molecule: ribosomal RNA, 576 nt
Filed under: uncultured eukaryote
Lineage: Eukaryota
Description: SSU rRNA
Rfam family: Eukaryotic small subunit ribosomal RNA
Source: RNAcentral